This 712-nucleotide ribosomal RNA is filed under the name Synalpheus aff. paraneomeris KMH-2014. Its description in RNAcentral is "bacterial SSU rRNA". It matches the Rfam family "Eukaryotic small subunit ribosomal RNA", at positions 548 to 1219 of the family's 1831-position model. Lineage: Eukaryota; Metazoa; Arthropoda; Malacostraca; Decapoda; Alpheidae. The record is from RNAcentral.
UUGGAGGGCCAAGUCUGGUGCCAGCAGCCGCGGUAAUUCCAGCUCCAAUAGCGUAUAUUAAAGUUGUUGCGGUUAAAAAGCUCGUAGUCUGAGUUCUGUUCCGGACUGGUCGGGGAGGUCACCGCCCGGUGCUUGCCCGUCAGGUUCCGAACAGCCAACCCGCCGCGAGCGGGGGCCAAGCCGGUUCUGCCGGGGUGCUCUUGACCGAGUGUCCCGCGCGGCCGGCCGCUUCACCUUGAACAAAUGAGAGUGCUCAAAGCAGGCUACUCUUGACACUAAAGCCCGAAUGUUAACUGCAUGGAAUGAUGGAAGAUGAUCUCGGUUCCAUUUUGCUGGGUGGUGGGAAUCCGAGUUAAUGAUAAACAGGGACUGUCGGGGGCAUCCGUACUACGACGCGAGAGGUGAAAUUCAGUGACCGUCGUAGGACGAACAACAGCGAAAGCAUUUGCCAAGAAUGUCUUCGUUGAUCAAGAACGAAAGUUAGAGGAUCGAAGGCGAUCAGAUACCGCCCUAGUUCUAACCCUAAACGAUGCUGACCAGCUAUUCGCCGUCGUUAUUCCCAUGACGUGGCGAGACGCCCCCGGGAAACCUCGAGUCUUUGAGUUCCGGGGGGUAGUAUGGUUGCAAAACUGAAACUUAAAGGAAUUGACGGAAGGGCACCACCAGGAGUGGAGCCUGCGGCUUAAUUUGACUCAACACGGGAAACCUCACC